This 207-nucleotide ribosomal RNA is filed under the name uncultured bacterium. RNAcentral's name for it is "partial 16S ribosomal RNA". It matches the Rfam family "Bacterial small subunit ribosomal RNA", at positions 568 to 774 of the family's 1533-position model. The record is from RNAcentral.
CGUGUAGGCGGCUCGGUAAGUUGGACGUGAAAGCUCCUGGCUCAACUGGGAGAUGUCGUUCAAAACUACCGGGCUAGAGGACGGUAGAGGGAGGUGGAAUUCCCGGUGUAGUGGUGAAAUGCGUAGAUAUCGGGAGGAACACCAGUGGCGAAGGCGGCCUCCUGGGCCGUUCCUGACGCUCAGACGCGAAAGCUAGGGGAGCGAACG